Molecule: long non-coding RNA, 373 nt
Organism: Helianthus annuus (common sunflower)
Lineage: Eukaryota; Viridiplantae; Streptophyta; Magnoliopsida; Asterales; Asteraceae
Exons: 4
Source: RefSeq, a predicted model, not a curated record
AUAUUGGUUUUUCCUAGGAACCCUUGAUUGUGAGACAAUGUGACCAUCGGUUUCUAAGGUUUUUGUAUUGAUUCUUGAAGGAGUCAUCGGAACUGGCGGCACUUGAAGCAUCCAAAGGAUUCGAGAGACGAUAAUGUUCCCUGUUUCAAAUCUUUUUGAGGUGCUCAGUUUUUCUGUCGACAAGGUGGUUGUGGCGUUUGAUUUAUAUGGUUAGGGUUUUCCAGAAUUGGGCUGACGGGAGAUCCGGGCACUCCAAAUAAGUGAGACAGGCAAGAGUGAGCUACUUCCGUACCAGCUUGAAGGAUUGAAUUUCUUACGUUUCUCAUGGUCUAAAGUCUAAACAAACACAUGUGAUACUUGCAGACGAAAUGGG